CAGAAAUGCGAAGGGUCAGUGAAGGAAGGGAAGGCUAAGGAGAAAAGCAGAACGGCUGAAGGAAAGAUGUGUUUCUUGCUUGAAUAACUCCCUAACAAUCUGCUGAAGGAGUGAUUUUGUAUCAGGCUGAAACCCCAAACCAGCAUCAUUUUAAUUUGCCAAGCACCUGUGAAAGAAUGCAGCUGCAAGACCAUGGGAAAACAAUGGGAACUGUGACAGUUCAUUAAUAUAAACCAGCAACGAGAUUUAUUUGGUAAAGUCAUUGAUACAGAAUUACACUGGAGGACACAGUGGCAUUCCUGAAGUAUGCCAGCCAGCAGCUAACCGAGAUUCUAGAUUUGUGUACAUCAUUUGAACUUCAAUGGUUAUUUGUUUGCUUUGGUCGCUGUUUCCGGUGAAGCAAGAGUUUGGAGAGUGCAAGCGGUGUCAGAACCGUGCUGUGCACAGCUGGGAACGAAGGCACCUCUCCAUGCAAAGCCAGCUCUCGGAUCCAAACCGAUGCAAAGGGAAAAGCUCCGUGCAGGGGGAACAUCGGGGCUGUCCUCGGGCAGGCGCAGCAGCAGCAUCAAGCACGGACCCGGACCUCUGGGUGCAGGAGCAGAGCGGUGUUUCAGCAUGGAGAGAUAAACUCAGGUUCUGCCCACAGGCAUCCCAACAAUAUGGCACGAGAGGCAGCAGCCAUCCUUCCAUCCAUCCAUCCAUCCAUCCAUCCAUCCAUCCAUCCAUCCAUCCAUCCAUCCAUCCAUCCACCCACCCACCCGAGGGUGCUCCCACCGAGGGAGGCAGGCAUGAGGAACACCUCACUGCUGGAGAAUUUGGGUGGUGGGGCCACGUGCGCGCUCCCACACUGAGUC
RNAcentral lists this long non-coding RNA (854 nucleotides) under Anas platyrhynchos platyrhynchos (common mallard). RNAcentral's name for it is "lncRNA (ENSAPLG00000027561.1)". The record is from RNAcentral. Lineage: Eukaryota; Metazoa; Chordata; Aves; Anseriformes; Anatidae.